RNAcentral lists this transfer RNA (78 nucleotides) under Bacillus sp. M6-12. RNAcentral's name for it is "tRNA-Lys". It matches the Rfam family "tRNA". From Rfam's summary of the family: Transfer RNA (tRNA) molecules are approximately 80 nucleotides in length. The record is from RNAcentral. Lineage: Bacteria; Bacillati; Bacillota; Bacilli; Caryophanales; Bacillaceae.
GGGACUGUAGCUCAGUGGUUUUAGAGCAUCCGACUUUUAAUCGGAGGGUCGAAGGUUCAAAUCCUUCCAGUCCCACCA